GGGACCAUCCUCCAAGGCUAAAUACUCCUGACUGACCGAUAGUGAACCAGUACCGUGAGGGAAAGGCGAAAAGAACCCCGGCGAGGGGAGUGAAAAAGAACCUGAAACCGUGUACGUACAAGCAGUGGGAGCACGCUUCGGCGUGUGACUGCGUACCUUUUGUAUAAUGGGUCAGCGACUUAUAUUCUGUAGCAAGGUUAACCGAAUAGGGGAGCCGAAGGGAAACCGAGUCUUAACUGGGCGUUAAGUUGCAGGGUAUAGACCCGAAACCCGGUGAUCUAGCCAUGGGCAGGUUGAAGGUUGGGUAACACUAACUGGAGGACCGAACCGACUAAUGUUGAAAAAUUAGCGGAUGACUUGUGGCUGGGGGUGAAAGGCCAAUCAAACCGGGAGAUAGCUGGUUCUCCCCGAAAGCUAUUUAGGUAGCGCCUCGUGAAUUCAUCUCCGGGGGUAGAGCACUGUUUCGGCAAGGGGGUCAUCCCGACUUACCAACCCGAUGCAAACUGCGAAUACCGGAGAAUGUUAUCACGGGAGACACACGGCGGGUGCUAACGUCCGUCGUGAAGAGGGAAACAACCCAGACCGCCAGCUAAGGUCCCAAAGUCAUGGUUAAGUGGGAAACGAUGUGGGAAGGCCCAGACAGCCAGGAUGUUGGCUUAGAAGCAGCCAUCAUUUAAAGAAAGCGUAAUAGCUCACUGGUCGAGUCGGCCUGCGCGGAAGAUGUAACGGGGCUAAACCAUGCACCGAAGCUGCGGCAGCGACACUAUGUGUUGUUGGGUAGGGGAGCGUUCUGUAAGCCUGUGAAGGUGUGCUGUGAGGCAUGCUGGAGGUAUCAGAAGUGCGAAUGCUGACAUAAGUAACGAUAAAGCGGGUGAAAAGCCCGCUCGCCGGAAGACCAAGGGUUCCUGUCCAACGUUAAUCGGGGCAGGGUGAGUCGACCCCUAAGGCGAGGCCGAAAGGCGUAGUCGAUGGGAAACAGGUUAAUAUUCCUGUACUUGGUGUUACUGCGAAGGGGGGACGGAGAAGGCUAUGUUGGCCGGGCGACGGUUGUCCCGGUUUAAGCGUGUAGGCUGGUUUUCCAGGCAAAUCCGGAAAACUAAGGCUGAGGCGUGAUGACGAGGCACUACGGUGCUGAAGCAACAAAUGCCCUGCUUCCAGGAAAAGCCUCUAAGCAUCAGGUAACAUCAAAUCGUACCCCAAACCGACACAGGUGGUCAGGUAGAGAAUACCAAGGCGCUUGAGAGAACUCGGGUGAAGGAACUAGGCAAAAUGGUGCCGUAACUUCGGGAGAAGGCACGCUGAUAUGUAGGUGAAGUCCCUCGCGGAUGGAGCUGAAAUCAGUCGAAGAUACCAGCUGGCUGCAACUGUUUAUUAAAAACACAGCACUGUGCAAACACGAAAGUGGACGUAUACGGUGUGACGCCUGCCCGGUGCCGGAAGGUUAAUUGAUGGGGUUAGCGCAAGCGAAGCUCUUGAUCGAAGCCCCGGUAAACGGCGGCCGUAACUAUAACGGUCCUAAGGUAGCGAAAUUCCUUGUCGGGUAAGUUCCGACCUGCACGAAUGGCGUAAUGAUGGCCAGGCUGUCUCCACCCGAGACUCAGUGAAAUUGAACUCGCUGUGAAGAUGCAGUGUACCCGCGGCAAGACGGAAAGACCCCGUGAACCUUUACUAUAGCUUGACACUGAACAUUGAGCCUUGAUGUGUAGGAUAGGUGGGAGGCUUUGAAGUGUGGACGCCAGUCUGCAUGGAGCCGACCUUGAAAUACCACCCUUUAAUGUUUGAUGUUCUAACGUUGACCCGUGAUCCGGGUUGCGGACAGUGUCUGGUGGGUAGUUUGACUGGGGCGGUCUCCUCCUAAAGAGUAACGGAGGAGCACGAAGGUUGGCUAAUCCUGGUCGGACAUCAGGAGGUUAGUGCAAUGGCAUAAGCCAGCUUGACUGCGAGCGUGACGGCGCGAGCAGGUGCGAAAGCAGGUCAUAGUGAUCCGGUGGUUCUGAAUGGAAGGGCCAUCGCUCAACGGAUAAAAGGUACUCCGGGGAUAACAGGCUGAUACCGCCCAAGAGUUCAUAUCGACGGCGGUGUUUGGCACCUCGAUGUCGGCUCAUCACAUCCUGGGGCUGAAGUAGGUCCCAAGGGUAUGGCUGUUCGCCAUUUAAAGUGGUACGCGAGCUGGGUUUAGAACGUCGUGAGACAGUUCGGUCCCUAUCUGCCGUGGGCGCUGGAGAACUGAGGGGGGCUGCUCCUAGUACGAGAGGACCGGAGUGGACGCAUCACUGGUGUUCGGGUUGUCAUGCCAAUGGCACUGCCCGGUAGCUAAAUGCGGAAGAGAUAAGUGCUGAAAGCAUCUAAGCACGAAACUUGCCCCGAGAUGAGUUCUCCCUGACUCCUUGAGAGUCCUGAAGGAACGUUGAAGACGACGACGUUGAUAGGCCGGGUGUGUAAGCGCAGCGAUGCGUUGAGCUAACCGGUACUAAUGAACCGUGAGGCUUAACCUU
Molecule: ribosomal RNA, 2495 nt
Filed under: Escherichia coli UMEA 3163-1
Lineage: Bacteria; Pseudomonadati; Pseudomonadota; Gammaproteobacteria; Enterobacterales; Enterobacteriaceae
Description: bacterial LSU rRNA
Rfam family: Bacterial large subunit ribosomal RNA
Source: RNAcentral